RNAcentral lists this long non-coding RNA (1354 nucleotides) under Oryza sativa Indica Group (long-grained rice). RNAcentral's name for it is "lncRNA OsMH63_12G020420". Lineage: Eukaryota; Viridiplantae; Streptophyta; Magnoliopsida; Poales; Poaceae. The record is from RNAcentral.
AUGGCUCGCACGGCGGAGGAGAAGUCACGGGCUCGCGGCACGGCGCUGUGGCGGCUGCUCCGGCCGCUUGCCGUGCUGGGGCCGCGGAUGCAGAGGAGGAGGGAGGCGGCGGUGCCAUUCCGCGGCCAGGUGCGGAACACGGCGGCGGCGUCGCUGCUGCUCCUGCUCUCGCUGAGCCACGUCCCGCUCUACGCCGGCGCCGGCGACGCCGACCCCGACCCGCUGUUCUGGGCGCGGCCCCUCCUCGCCGCGCCCCGCGGCACAGUGAUGGAGCUCGGCGUCGCCCCCGUCGUCACGUCGUGGGUGGUGGUGCGCCUCCUCGCCGCCCUCCUCUUCGACUCCGACUCCUCAACCACCGUGGCCUCCUGUGAGUUACUAGCUCGAUGCCUCGCUUACGUCACGAACGCGUCGCGGUUGGUGAUCGGGAUCGCGGCGGCGCUUGGGAUGUGCGGGAGCGGCGGAGCGGGCAACGCGGCGCUCGUCGUGCUCCAGCUCUUCGCCGGCGGCGUGGUCGUCGUGCUGGCCGACCUCCUCCACGAGACGGGCUACGGCGUGGAGGGCGUCUCCGCCGCCUCCUUGCUCAUCGCCACCAACGCCUGCGAGCGCGCGGUGUCGCACCUGUUCAGCCCCGUGAAGCUCCGCCUCGCCGGCGCCGGCCCGGAGUUCGAGGGGCCCGUGUUCGCCGUCACCCACCGCGUGGCCGCCGCGCCGCCGUCGUGGCGGCACAAGGCCGGGGCGCUCCUCUUCACGCUGCUCCGCCUGGACCUCCCCAACCUCUCCAACUACAUGACCACCUGCGUUAUGUUCGUCCUCGCCGUGCGCCUCGACGAGACCCACCUCCGGCGGCUGUACCGCUUCAGACCGCGCCGCGGCACCGACGAGUUCGUCCCAAUCAAGCUGCUCUACACCUCCGCGAUGCCCAUCAUGCUGCACGCCGCCGCCGUCUCGGCGUUCUGCGUCGACGCCGGCGGCGGCGCCGCCUACCCGGUGGGCGGCCUCGUCUACUACGUCACGCCGCCGUCGAAGCUGCUGGUGGAUCCCGGCCUGAUCCACGAGCUGCUGAUCCAUAGCGUGUUCGUCGUCGCGUCGUGCACGCUCCUCUCCAUGGCCUGGGCCGAGGCGACGCGGGUGAUCGGAACGGGAUACUUCGUGUGGGACGAGACUAGCCGUCGGAUCGACCGUGUCAUCCCGGCGGCCGCCGCCGUCGGUGGGCUCGCCGUCUACGCCGGCGCCGUUGGAGCUAUUGGAGAAGCUGGUCCUGAACUUUUGUUCGCAGUUUUAGUCAUCAAGAACCUGGCCGAAACCUUCUACGCUAAAUCCAAGCUUAUUACUACCUAUAGCUAGAUAAAUUAUU